CCUACGGGAGGCAGCAGUGAGGAAUAUUGGUCAAUGGGCGCGAGCCUGAACCAGCCAAGUCGCGUGAGGGAUGACGGUCCUACGGAUUGUAAACCUCUUUUGCCGGGGAGCAAGCGUGCGUUCGUGAACGCGCGUCGAGAGUACCCGGAGAAAAAGCAUCGGCUAACUCCGUGCCAGCAGCCGCGGUAAUACGGAGGAUGCGAGCGUUAUCCGCAUUUAUUGGGUUUAAAGGGUGCGUAGGCGGGAUGCCAAGUCAGCGGUAAAAGUGCGGUGCUCAACGCCGUCGAGCCGUUGAAACUGGCGUGCUUGAGUGGGCGAGAAGUAUGCGGAAUGCGUGGUGUAGCGGUGAAAUGCAUAGAUAUCACGCAGAACUCCGAUUGCGAAGGCAGCAUACCGGCGCCCUACUGACGCUGAGGCACGAAAGCGUGGGUAUCGAACAGGAUUAGAUACCCGAGUAGUC
This 460-nucleotide ribosomal RNA is filed under the name uncultured bacterium. RNAcentral describes it as "partial 16S ribosomal RNA". It matches the Rfam family "Bacterial small subunit ribosomal RNA", at positions 338 to 795 of the family's 1533-position model. The record is from RNAcentral.